Molecule: small nucleolar RNA, 133 nt
Organism: Eptesicus fuscus (big brown bat)
Lineage: Eukaryota; Metazoa; Chordata; Mammalia; Chiroptera; Vespertilionidae
Product: small nucleolar RNA SNORA29
Exons: 1
Source: RefSeq, a predicted model, not a curated record
UCUCCCAUGUGACUGCCACGCUCUCUCCUAGUAGAUUCCCGUGGCUCUGCUCCUGGGAUAGGGCAGCAUUGCCAUGGUCUGAAGGGGAGGAUGUGUGUGUGUCCUCCUGUGUGAAAUGGCUAAACAGGAAAAA